Spermophilus dauricus (Daurian ground squirrel) is the source of this 88-nucleotide small nucleolar RNA. Lineage: Eukaryota; Metazoa; Chordata; Mammalia; Rodentia; Sciuridae. The record is from Ensembl.
CUUUGCACAGCUGAUGGCAUGACAUUUUUCAGGAUCAGAUUGAUCCUAUAGAUCUAAAGUAUUUUCCAAUUUUGUCUGAUGUAUCAGA